This 377-nucleotide ribosomal RNA is filed under the name uncultured cyanobacterium. Its description in RNAcentral is "bacterial SSU rRNA". It matches the Rfam family "Bacterial small subunit ribosomal RNA", at positions 376 to 770 of the family's 1533-position model. The record is from RNAcentral. Lineage: Bacteria; Bacillati; Cyanobacteriota.
CGCAAGCCUGACGGAGCAAGACCGCGUGCGGGAUGACGGCCUAAUGGUUGUAAACCGCUUUUCUCUGGGAAGAUGAUGGCGGUACCAGAGGAAUCAGCCUCGGCUAACUCCGUGCCAGCAGCCGCGGUAAUACGGAGGAGGCAAGCGUUAUCCGGAAUUAUUGGGCGUAAAGCGUCCGUAGGUGGUUAUUCAAGUCUGCUGUCAAAGCGUGGGGCUUAACUCCAUAGAGGCAGUGGAAACUGGAUGACUUGAGUGCGGUAGGGGUCGAGGGAAUUCCCAGUGUAGCGGUGAAAUGCGUAGAUAUUGGGAAGAACACCAGUGGCGGAAGCGCUCGACUGGGCCUGCACUGACACUGAGGGACGAAAGCUAGGGGAGCG